UACUUUCUUCAUUUUUGUGGUUGGCCGCGUCCUGCCUGCGUCUGGUACACCUUACGUUUCAUCAAAACGACCGAGCGCUGGUGGCGUGAGAUCUUGUUGUAGCAACCUGCUCUAAUUGUGGGCCAAGCAAGCCAAAGGGAUGUGGAAGAGGAAGGUGGCAUCUAAUUCCCGGGUUGCUUUCUGUCUCUCUUCCUGGCAAACAAAACAAUUAUUUCCUGUGGGCCUUGGCCUGGCUAAAUGUGUGAAGAUUAUAACAGAUUCAUUCAGGUACACGUAUGUUUCUGCUUGUUCCUUGAUAAGCCCAGUCCAAUCGCAUUGAAGUCAACAGUGAGAAGACCUCUUUUUUUUUUGCGAUUUACUUCUGUUACAGUCUCAUGCAUAUUAUCUUUCUAUUCUUGCAUCUUCAUCUUUUAGCAAUCCAAAUAGGUUUCUGGAAAUGAAGCAAGGAAAAGGGGAAAGGAGAGUAGGUCCUAUAUUUGAAGAUGGAACCUAAAUAUAGUAGAAAUCUUUUCAGCUCUAUGUUAGAGACCAGUGCAUGUUAUCCUUGUAAUAAGAGCAGAUACAUAUCUUCAGCACUUUUUUAAGAUUCUUCAUUUUGGGGGGAGAGAGGACAUAAAUCAGUAACUUAUAAACACAGGUUUUUCUCUACAAGCACUGCAGUGUAGUCAUCUGCAUGUUAAAUGUUUUACUAAUCAAUCAAUAAAUGUAAAGAGACAUGUUUAAGUGUGUGUAUUUUAUUUAAAGAAGGGGGAAAACAGAUUUUAAUUGGUAAAAGAGGUGGCACCUAGAACUGUCAGUUAGGCAGCUUUUCCAAAGUAGGAGUUAUCUCAAAUAAUAAUUUUUGGUGUUCUGAAUUUGCUCUGAAUUUCGUUUUGAACUAAAAUAGGCUUAGGUGAGAUUUUUUUAUCUGGGGUAAAAAUGAAAUUAUGAUUGAAUGAAAUAGUGAAAUUAUGAAUGGUGUGAAAUUAUUCAGGAAUGGUUAAUCCAUUUGAAAUUCAUAUUUCGUAUGAAAAUCUCAGGCAGAGGCAAGCCAUUUAAAAUGUCAGUCUCUAUGGACAAAUGUUCAUGUUGUAUUUUUCUAAUCUCUUUAUGGUUGAAAUAUAAUUAAGUUGUUACUGACCAGCUAAUUCGUUUAGCAGAAUUAUAUUCUAUCUGCUAUAAUUUCAUUAGUGGCUUUUGGAUACAAUAUUUUCUUUGGUUCUUCUCUUAACAUUUCUGAAUCUUGUUAAUCAGUUUCUAUUAGGUUUUCCUUGUCUCCUGUAGGUAGGAAUAUCCAUUUCAGAGACUACUUGAGCUGGCAGCUUGGAUAGAAAUGUUAUGUAAGUGUCUUAGAAAAGGCAUUAUUGAGAAGUUUUUAGUCUUUUACUCAGCAACUGGAUAAAACUGCCGAAGCUUUCCUUUUUAUCCUGCUCUUUUCAGGGUGUUAUAUUCACAGUUACAUGAACUGUACUUCUAAAACAGUUUCUAACUGAGAAGUAGUUUAACAAUUUUGCUGAUGCUCACAGUAUAUUAGAGCUGGAGCUUGUUAGGUGUUAGCCUUUGGAUUUUUUUCUUUUUUUUUCCAAAGAAAACAUCUGUUUAUAGGAAUUGAGACUGUCAUGUAACUCUUGAUGCAUUCUAGAGAAUAGGCAUCUUCUAAAUUGUCCUGCCAUUCUCUGUGGUUGUUCCAGACGAUCUUUGUUUUGGAAGAGAGAUGACUGGAAGAGUUGGGGGCAUAGGAAAUAGAGUUUUUCAAAAUUAUGAAUAGAGGAGGGUGCUGGGAGAACACGGACUCAGAAGAGGUCAAAUAGGGAACAAGGUUCAAAGCAGACAGAUGUUUCUUUACGCAGUGUGUGGUAGACUAGUGGAACUUCCUGCCAGAGGUGCUAUGCUGUGGAUGCAAAGAUGAGUGCCUAGAUCCAAAAAGGAGGUUUCACAACGUUGUGGAAAAGAAAUUAAUUGAUGGUUAUUAAAUAUGUUAAAAGUGUUGUUGUUUCAGAACAUGUGUGAACAGAAAGUGAAAUACUUAAGUGAUCUCACAGCCUCUGUUCAUAUAUCCUUGCCGUAUUUUUAUGCUCUUGCCCUGUUCAUAUGUGCUCAUGUGUUUAUAGCCACUCUUGGAUACUUGGUGAAACAGAUCUUUAGCCUUACUUGGUAGGGGCAUUGUAUUUUUAAUGUUCAUCCAACCUGGUACACAGGGCCUGGAGAAGGUAAUAAAUGAGUACUCUUUUACCCUCUGAUGGGAAGAAUGCUAAUAUUUCUGGCCUCCCACAGCAUAGAGGAAAAAGUGGUAGUGUGUCACUUACUCCCAUGCAGAACACUUAUCAGUGCUGCCUUGCCUUAGUAGGUCUUGCUGUGAUUUAGUUUCAUAUUGUUUGGAGAAACCAAGCGUAGAAAGUACUGUUGUUUCCUGAUUUAAAAAAAAGCCAGUGCUUAGAAAUCUUGAUUUAGUCCUUCUAGAAAUCAUGGGACUUAAGAAAAUAAUACUAAAGCUUUCCAAAAUUUAGGCUUUGGGACUCAGCAUAUGGUGGACACUGAAAAGUUUCGUUGGUUCUGCGAGAGAGUGAAUAAGUUCAUGGAAAUAGAAAUGUAUACAUCCAACACUGAUCCAGGAUAAAAUGUCUGAAAGUUUCAUUUCCACCUCCUCUCACCUCCCUAGGCUGUUGCAUUCACUGUAAUAUAAACUACAGUUCCAAAACCAAAGUUUUUCUACUGGGAACUUAAGAAACGUGUUUUUUAAGAAGAGUGCAUAGACUCUGCAGAACAAAAUACAAUGUUUUUAAAACUUCUUUUUUCCUUUUUUUUUUUUUUCCUAAAGCUUAGGACCUCCUUUUAAAUGUUGACCUCAGCGGCUUAGGCUUGCAAUAUUUGACAUUUUCUUUAAAAUUCUUAAUGACAUAGUGGGAACUAGAAUCAGGAUAACUGUGGUCUUGGAGUUGGGCCUUUCAAAAGCACGACCAUUUUUUUGCAGAAACAGAAACACUUGUCUGAAAAUUCAUAAUGUUGUCUUGUAAUUCUGUAUGUGAAUUUGUGAAGAUGAGAUGGCUAAAUCAAGACUGUAGUCUAAAGCUCCUAAAUCAUCCACAGAGGUGAUUUUUAUAAAACAGAAAGUAAGAAAUAAAUCUGAAGAAGCAUGUUUGCUGCUACAUUAUACCAUUCUUGCAAAAUUAUGAUUGUUGGUCUGCAGUACAGCAUUGUAUAAGUCCUGGUAGUCACUUAAUAAACAACUUUUGAUUCCUG
Non-coding RNA from Struthio camelus australis, 3219 nucleotides. NCBI's taxonomy places the organism in Eukaryota, Metazoa, Chordata, Aves, Struthioniformes, Struthionidae. The record is from RefSeq and is a predicted model, not a curated record.